Molecule: long non-coding RNA, 968 nt
Organism: Pezoporus flaviventris
Lineage: Eukaryota; Metazoa; Chordata; Aves; Psittaciformes; Psittacidae
Exons: 3
Source: RefSeq, a predicted model, not a curated record
UCAUAAUGGCUAACACUUGAAUACGCUUACACUUGAGAUUGUUUUGCAGAUACAUUGAGCUGAACCCCUCUGAUGCUCCAAGUUGACCAGGUAUACUUUAGAAAUGUUUUAGGCAGUGCAAUAACAAACUAUUAAAACUCGGUGAGGAACAAGAUACAGCCAUGAUUGAAACACUGCUAGUUCAGGCUCAGGAACAUAAUAGCUGGUUGUGCAGCUUCUGGGCUGGUCUGCCCAGAGUACAAAAGGCAUUUGCUACAUUGGGGGGUAUUGUGUUCUUUAUUAGAGUUAAGACAAUAUAGUUCCUGAACUUCAGACUCCAAACAAGCAGUCUCAGUAUUAGGGUUUUAGGGGAAGAAGGAGCUUGGUGGCUUGUGGUGCCUUUUUUUUUCCUUUUUUUUUUUUUAAUGGGAACUGUCAAGGUCUGAGACAUGCUCUGAAUGUGAACAUGGUAUCUUUCCUCAGUAAAUUGGAUUAUGUUAGAAGGUCUGUUUUGUUUAUUUGGUUCUCUUCUUGAAGACGUUAUUCCUUGCAUGCAAAAUUUUGAUGGAAAACAGUUCAGAAACUUUUUGUGAGUGACUGAGGUCUUGCUUGCAUGUUUCAGAGUGCAAAUUAAGUUUGUCCCCUUGAGUCCCCAUUAGAAACUCCUGUAAGAUCAUAGAAGCUAUGUGCAAGCUGUCUAAUAUGUAAUAUCUCUUUAUGUGUAUAUUUUUUACCUUGGUGAACAGAAGACUCACAAAGGACAUAACCUGUCUGAAGGAUUUUAUCAAUGAUCCCAAAAGAGAAGAACCUCUAGUUGGUUUAGAACAUGUGGUUGAAAUCAGAUUUGAAGGAAGAAAAGAGCCACAUUAUAAGUGCAAGCUGUGUGGGUUUAAUAUGGAGAUGGCACCUAUGAUAGAACACCUUAGUGGAUAUAAACACAGAAGAGCAUACAUCAUGAGUAAUUUUGAUGCGUUUUGAUAACAAUUUCU